GUAUUAUCCUGAUGAUGAUAUUACAGAGAUGGGACGUCCGGGCCAACAAACGUGAAUGAAACCAAAAAUAAGUAGCUGAGGAGAUCCAGUGAGCGUGAGCACGAGAACUUCCUGUUCCCUAAUAUCAGGGGUUUGUUAAUGUUUUCUAAGUCAUUUCUCCCUACUUGAUUUUUCUUUUAUAAAAUUCCACAGAACCGUGUUUAUGAUACAGCCGUUUAAUAUAUGUACAAAUUGUAAAGAACAUGUAUAAAUAUUUUACAUAAAUGUAAGAGCAUGUAGAAGCCAAUAUAUAAAUAAAUUGUUUUUAAAAACUGUAAAAAAAAAA
Molecule: long non-coding RNA, 325 nt
Filed under: Rattus norvegicus (Norway rat)
Lineage: Eukaryota; Metazoa; Chordata; Mammalia; Rodentia; Muridae
Description: long non-coding RNA NONRATT021082
Source: RNAcentral